Long non-coding RNA from Monopterus albus (swamp eel), 362 nucleotides. RefSeq lists it as uncharacterized. The record is from RefSeq and is a predicted model, not a curated record. NCBI's taxonomy places the organism in Eukaryota, Metazoa, Chordata, Actinopteri, Synbranchiformes, Synbranchidae. The transcript is spliced from 2 exons.
UUUGUUGUUUUUCUAAGAAGAGAGAAGUUUUGGACCAAAAGAAGAUGUUUCUUUUUUAAAAUGGAUUUAAUUUUGUUUCUCAGAAGACAGAAGAUUUGGACCAAAAGAAGAUAGUUGUUUUUAAGACAUUUGCGUAUUUUUUUGUUUUCCUGAGAAAUGUUUUUGGUUUUCUUUCUAUCUUUCAGGGUGAGGAAGAGGUGGAGGGUUGGGUGAAAUAUGAGCCGUCUCACGGACAUGGCAUUUGUUUCUUUUCAGGAGUAUGGAGGACAGGAGAAAUCAAAAUAAGAUGUGAACAGAUGAGGAAACAAAGGAAAUAAGGAGGAGGGAGAGGAGAGGAGAGGAGGUGUGGGGCACAAUGUCUU